This 292-nucleotide ribosomal RNA is filed under the name uncultured bacterium. RNAcentral's name for it is "partial 16S ribosomal RNA". The record is from RNAcentral.
GGACUACCGGGGUAUCUAAUCCCGUUUGCUCCCCUGGCUUUCGCACCUCAGCGUCAGAAACCAACCAGUGCAUCGCUUUCGCCGCCGACGUUCCUUCCGAUAUCAACGCAUUUCACCGCUCCACCGGAAAUUCCAUGCACCCCUUUGGUCCUCAAGCAAAGCAGUCUUGGGCGCAGUUCCUCGGUUGGGCCGAGGGAUUUCACACCCAACUUACUCCGCCGCCUACGUGCGCUUUAUGCCCAGUGAUUCCGAACAACGCUCGCCACCUUCGUCUUACCGCGGCUGCUGGCAC